CGAAAUGCGUUGAGGCGCAGCAGUUGACUGGACAUCUAGGGGUAAAGUACUGUUUCGGUGCGGGCCGAGAUAGCGGUACCAAAUCGAGACAAACUCUAAAUACUAGAUAUGACCUCAAAAUUAGAGGGGUCAAGGUUGGCCAGUGAGACGAUGGGGGAUAAGCUUCAUCGUCGAGGGAAAUAGCCUAGAUCACCAGCUAAGGCCUCUAAAGCUUCAUCGUCGGUGGAAACUUACUAAGAGUUCACCCAUCUUGAUAGUAGAGUGUAUGCCUAACUAUGAAGCUUUCAUAUUUUCCAUUACCAUUGCGCUCAAAAUUAAUGCGUUGGUAAUAUAAGAGGUAG
Molecule: non-coding RNA, 341 nt
Filed under: Helianthus annuus (common sunflower)
Lineage: Eukaryota; Viridiplantae; Streptophyta; Magnoliopsida; Asterales; Asteraceae
Description: sRNA HanXRQr2_Chr11g0476511
Rfam family: Bacterial large subunit ribosomal RNA
Source: Rfam by way of RNAcentral